AGAGUUUGAUCCUGGCUCAGGACGAACGCUGGCGGCGCGCCUAACACAUGCAAGUCGAGCGAGAACCAGGGCUUCGGCCCUGGGGACAGCGGCGAACGGGUGAGUAACACGUGGAUAACCUGCCCUCGGCACCGGAAUAGCCCGGGGAAACCCGGAUUAAUGCCGGAUUGCCCCACAUCCCUGCGGGGAACGUGGGAAAAGGUAGCUUCGGCCUCUGGCCGAGGAUGGGUCCGCGGUGGAUUAGCUUGUUGGCGGGGUAACGGCCCACCAAGGCGACGAUCCAUAGCUGGUCUGAGAGGACGAUCAGCCACACUGGGACUGAGACACGGCCCAGACUCCUACGGGAGGCAGCAGUGGGGAAUCUUGCGCAAUGGGCGAAAGCCUGACGCAGCGACGCCGCGUGCGGGAAGAAGGCCUUCGGGUUGUAAACCGCUUUCAGGAGGGACGAAGCCACUCGGGUUAAUAGCCCAGAGGGUGACGGUACCUCCAGAAGAAGCCCCGGCUAACUACGUGCCAGCAGCCGCGGUAAUACGUAGGGGGCAAGCGUUGUCCGGAUUCAUUGGGCGUAAAGAGCGUGUAGGCGGUCCGGUAAGUCGGCUGUGAAAGUCCAGGGCUCAACCCUGGGAUGCCGGUCGAUACUGCCGGACUAGAGUUCGGAAGAGGCGAGUGGAAUUCCCGGUGUAGCGGUGAAAUGCGCAGAUAUCGGGAGGAACACCUAUGGCGAAGGCAGCUCGCUGGGACGUUACUGACGCUGAGACGCGAAAGCGUGGGGAGCAAACAGGAUUAGAUACCCUGGUAGUCCACGCCGUAAACGAUGGGCACUAGGUGUGGGUCUCACCAACGAGAUCCGCGCCGUC
Molecule: ribosomal RNA, 857 nt
Filed under: uncultured bacterium
Lineage: Bacteria
Description: bacterial SSU rRNA
Rfam family: Bacterial small subunit ribosomal RNA
Source: RNAcentral